Molecule: ribosomal RNA, 495 nt
Filed under: uncultured soil bacterium
Lineage: Bacteria
Description: bacterial SSU rRNA
Rfam family: Bacterial small subunit ribosomal RNA
Source: RNAcentral
AGAACGAACGCUGGCGGCGUGGAUAAGACAUGCAAGUCGAACGGGAUUUGUUUUGUAGCAAUACAAAGCAAGUCCAGUGGCGUAAGGGUGCGUAACACGUGGGGAAUCUGCCGAGAAGUGGGGGAUAGCUCGCCGAAAGGCGAAUUAAUACCGCAUGUGGUUAGUGAAGACAUCUUCACGAUACCAAAGCCGGGGCAACCUGGCGCUUCUUGAUGACCCCGCGGCCUAUCAGCUAGUUGGUGAGGUAACGGCUCACCAAGGCUAUGACGGGUAGCUGGUCUGAGAGGACGACCAGCCACACUGGAACUGAGACACGGUCCAGACACCUACGGGUGCAGCAGUCGAGUAAUUUUCUCAAUGGGGGAAACCCUGAAGGAGCGACGCCGCGUGGAGGAUGAAGGUCUCGGAUUAGUAACUCUGUCAUUUGGAACAGUUGCAUUGUACUGCGAUGCAUGAUAGUACCAGAAGAGAAGAGACGGACUACUCGUGUAGCCG